GCGAAAGUGGUGGAAUUGGUAGACACGCAGGCUUCAGGCGCUUGUGGAGUAAUCUAUGUGGGUUCGAGUCCCAUCUUUCGCACCA
RNAcentral lists this transfer RNA (85 nucleotides) under Bacillota bacterium. Its description in RNAcentral is "tRNA-Leu". It matches the Rfam family "tRNA". From Rfam's summary of the family: Transfer RNA (tRNA) molecules are approximately 80 nucleotides in length. The record is from RNAcentral. Lineage: Bacteria; Bacillati; Bacillota.